UGAGCAAUCUGCCCUUCUCAUCGGAAUAAGCGUUGGAAACGACGUCUAAUGCCGAAUACGACCUCCUUUCGCAUGAUCGGAGGUGGAAAGCUCCGGCGGAGAAGGAUGAGCUCGCGGCCUAUCAGCUAGUUGGUGUGGGUAAUGGCCCACAAGGCGACGACGGGUAGCCGGCCUGAGAGGGCGACCGGCCACACUGGGACUGAGACACGGCCCAGACUCCUACGGGAGCAG
RNAcentral lists this ribosomal RNA (231 nucleotides) under uncultured bacterium. RNAcentral describes it as "partial 16S ribosomal RNA". It matches the Rfam family "Bacterial small subunit ribosomal RNA", at positions 118 to 347 of the family's 1533-position model. The record is from RNAcentral.